This 465-nucleotide ribosomal RNA is filed under the name uncultured bacterium. RNAcentral's name for it is "partial 16S ribosomal RNA". It matches the Rfam family "Bacterial small subunit ribosomal RNA", at positions 28 to 507 of the family's 1533-position model. The record is from RNAcentral.
GACGAACGCUGGCGGCGUGCUUAACACAUGCAAGUCGUACGGUAAGGCCCUUUCGGGGGUACACGAGUGGCGAACGGGUGAGUAACACGUGAGUAACCUGCCCACAACUUUGGGAUAACGCUAGGAAACUGGUGCUAAUACUGGAUAUGUGCUCCUUCUUCAUGGUGGGGGUUGGAAAGCUCCGGCGGUUGUUGAUGGACUGGCUGCCUAUCGGCUUGUUGGUGGGGUAGUGGCCUACCAAGGCGGCGACGGGUAGCCGGCCUGAGAGGGUGACCGGCCACAUUGAGACUGAGAUACGGCCCAGACUCCUACGGGAGGCAGAAGUGGGGAAUAUUGAACAAUGGGCGCAAGCCGGAUGCAGAAACGCCGCGUGCGGGAUGACGGCGUUAGGGUGGUAAAACGCGUUCAGCAGGGACGAAGCUUUUUGUGACGGUACCUGCAGAAGAAGCACCGGCUAACUACGUG